CAGCAGCCACGGGAAUACGAAGGGUGCAAGCGUUACUCGGAAUUACUGGGCGUAAAGCGUGCGUAGGUGGUGGUUUAAGUCCGUUGUGAAAGCCCUGGGCUCAACCUGGGAAUUGCAGUGGAUACUGGGUCACUAGAGUGUGGUAGAGGAUAGUGGAAUUUCCGGUGUAGCAGUGAAAUGCGUAGAGAUCGGAAGGAACAUCUGUGGCGAAGGCGACUAUCUGGGCCAACACUGACACUGAGGCACGAAAGCGUGGGGAGCAAACAGGAUUAGAUACCCCUGUAGUCCCUGUCUCUUAUCU
Molecule: ribosomal RNA, 301 nt
Filed under: uncultured bacterium
Lineage: Bacteria
Description: partial 16S ribosomal RNA
Rfam family: Bacterial small subunit ribosomal RNA
Source: RNAcentral